ACUCCUACGGGAGGCAGCAGUGGGGAAUAUUGGACAAUGGGCGCAAGCCUGAUCCAGCAAUGCCGCGUGAGUGAUGAAGGCCUUAGGUUGUAAAGCUCUUUUACCCGGGGAUGAUAAUGACAGUACCGGGAGAAUAAGCCCCGGCUAACUCCGUGCCAGCAGCCGCGGUAAUACGGAGGGGCUAGCGUUGUUCGGAAUUACUGGGGCGUAAAGCGCACGUAGGCGGCUUUGUAAGUUAGAGGUGAAAGCCUGGAGCUCAACUCCAGAACUGCCUUUAAGACUGCAUCGCUUGAAUCCAGGAGAGGUGAGUGGAAUUCCGAGUGUAGAGGUGAAAUUCGUAGAUAUUCGGAAGAACACCAGUGGCGAAGGCGGCUCACUGGACUGGUAUUGACGCUGAGGUGCGAAAGCUGGGGAGCAAACAGGAUUAGAUACCCUGGUAGACAUCAC
This 447-nucleotide ribosomal RNA is filed under the name uncultured bacterium. RNAcentral describes it as "bacterial SSU rRNA". It matches the Rfam family "Bacterial small subunit ribosomal RNA", at positions 335 to 800 of the family's 1533-position model. The record is from RNAcentral.